UAGGGAAUAUUGCACAAUGGAGGAAACUCUGAUGCAGCGACGCCGCGUGAGUGAUGAAGGCCUUCGGGUCGUAAAGCUCUGUCGUAUGGGACUAACACAACGAAGGUACCAUGCAAGAAAGGAUCGGCUAACUUCGUGCCAGCAGCCGCGGUAAGACGAGGGAUCCUAGCGUUGUUCGGAAUUAUUGGGCGUAAAGCGGGUGUAGGUGGACUUAUAAGUCAGGUGUGAAAUCCCAGGGCUCAACCCUGGAAGUGCACUUGAUACUGCAAGUCUUGAGUGUGGUAGAGGCUAUUAGAAUUCUUGGUGUAGUGGUGAAAUACGUAGAUAUCAAGAGGAAUACCGGAGGCGAAGGCGGAUAGCUGGGCCAACACUGACACUGAGACCCGAAAGCGUGGGGAUCAAACAGGAUUAGAUACCCCAGUAGUCCCUGAGCGGGCUGGCAAGGCGCAU
Molecule: ribosomal RNA, 450 nt
Filed under: uncultured bacterium
Lineage: Bacteria
Description: bacterial SSU rRNA
Rfam family: Bacterial small subunit ribosomal RNA
Source: RNAcentral